ACGGAAGGCAGCAGUAGGGAAUCUUCGGCAAUGGGGGCAACCCUGACCGAGCAACGCCGCGUGAGUGAAGAAGGUUUUUGGAUCGUAAAGCUCUGUUGUAAGAGAAGAACGUGUGUGAGAGUGGAAAGUUCACACAGUGACGGUAAAUUACCAGAAAGGGACGGCUAACUACGUGCCCGCAGCCGCGGUAAUACGUAGGUCCCGAGCGUUGUCCGGAUUUAUUGGGCGUAAAGCGAGCGCAGGCGGUUUAAUAAGUCUGAAGUUAAAGGCAGUGGCUUAACCAUUGUUCGCCUUGGAAACUGUUAUACUUGAGUGCAGAAGAGGAGAGUGGAAUUCCAUGUGUAGCGGUGAAAUGCGUAGAUAUAUGGAGGAACACCGGUGGCGAAAGCGGCUCUCUGGUCUGUAACUGACGCUGAGGCUCGAAAGCGUGGGGAGCAAACAGGAUUAGAUACCCUGGUA
RNAcentral lists this ribosomal RNA (459 nucleotides) under uncultured Streptococcus sp. Its description in RNAcentral is "partial 16S ribosomal RNA". It matches the Rfam family "Bacterial small subunit ribosomal RNA", at positions 341 to 792 of the family's 1533-position model. The record is from RNAcentral. Lineage: Bacteria; Bacillati; Bacillota; Bacilli; Lactobacillales; Streptococcaceae.